RNAcentral lists this long non-coding RNA (610 nucleotides) under Homo sapiens (human). Its description in RNAcentral is "long non-coding RNA NONHSAT209240.1". The record is from RNAcentral. Lineage: Eukaryota; Metazoa; Chordata; Mammalia; Primates; Hominidae.
UUAUACUAGUAUGUCCUCUGUUUCUAAGGACACAGAUGGAAAUGAGAUAUCUGAUAUCCAUGUUACUGGAGAGUCAGAGGAUAUGUCUGCAAAAGAGAGAUUGCUACUCUGGACGCAGCAGGCAACAGAGGGUUAUGCUGGAAUUCGGUGUGAAAAUUUCACUACCUGCUGGAGAGAUGGAAAAUUAUUUAAUGCCAUCAUUCAUAAAUACAGGUAUGGAAUUUGUGUAUUUUUUCCUUAUACAACUGUAAGACACAUUUCUUUCAUCUCUGAAUUUUAAAAUUAUCUUUUAUUAUUAUAGAAGCAAAAGCAUGGCAAAAAAUUAGAAAAUACAGAAAAAUUAAAAUAAAAAAUUGGCCAGGUGCAGUGGCCCAUGCCUGUAAUCCCAGGACUUAGGGAAGCCAAAGUGGGUAGAUUGCUUGAGCCUGGGAGUUCGAGAACAGCCUUGGCAAAAGGGUAAAACCCUCUCUCUACAAAAAAAUACAAAAAAUUAGCUUGGCAUGGUGGCAAGCACCUGUAUUUCCAGCUACUCCGGAGGCCAAGGCUGCGGUGAGCUGUGAUCAUGUGACUGCACUGCAGCCUGAGUCACAGGGUGAGACUCUGGCUUAAG